GUAAGUAAACAACACACACACACACACACACACACACACACACGCAGCCUCUCCUGCAUGUUACUCCUGUAAAUGUUCUGUUUUUCUCCAUGGCUCAUUUCAGUGAGAAAGAGAUGAAAAUGACCAAAAAACAAUAAACACUUAAAAAAAAAAAAAAAAAAGUGAAUCAUUUCUUGCAUGAUGAAAACUGAUCUCGUGAAACAUUCAUCCAACUUAAUACAAAUGAAAAUAUGCCAUAAGAAAAGGUAUUCAAGUGUAAAAUCAAGCAGGAUGAAUGUUUUUAUGUGAUGCAGCCAGACGCAAAGCAGACUCACUGCUACAGCACCAAAGUGGAUUAUUUUUCAAUAACAGCACAUCAGAGGGGGGAAAGAAAAAUAUGAAUAUGUGUUACCAGGACAGCCAACCUGAUUCAAAGUAAACACAGUUGUGCCUCAGAUUCUGCCAGAUGGCACAAGUAUACCAGAGAACCUUGAGGAAAGCACAAAUGACUUUUUUUUUUGGCGGGUGGAGAAUAACGCUGACAUGGCCGAUCUGGAUGGAUGUAAAAUCACAGCAUAACGGGAAAUCGGAAAUUACCCCUGGAACCCUUGUACAUUUAAUCCCAUCUAAACAGAUCUAUGGGGACAUAGACUGCUUAUCAAUCUUUAAGCAAUUUCUUCCUCCUGUUGUCUUUACAGGAGAGCACAUCAAAUUAGCCAAAAAAAAAAAAAUCAACAUAAAACAGCCUUAAAAAACCAUAAAAUAACCUACAUUCUGCUCACACAUUAUGAUUUCAUGAUCCCGAUUUAGAAACAAGCUUCAUUAAGAAAGAAGUAACUGCCACUGCAUGAGAUGGAAGAAUAUAAAGCAAACUAAUAGGAUGCUUCUGGCAAUCUCUGGCAACCCCAGAGGCGUGAACCUCCUGCAGGCACUUGGAUCAUUCGAGGCCCUACAGGAACAAAGAGGCAGCAUCUCAGAACCUAACCUUCAGACAUGAUUUCUUGUUCCUGCUAACUGCAGCAAAAUGAACUGACUACCGUAAUUAAAUCUUUCAAAGCACAGAUUGGUUCAACAAGGCAAUAUCUCGCGGUAUUUUGUAGGUAAAGCUGUUUAUGAUUGUAGAAAAAGACAGGAAGUGAAACAGCAAAACAUCGAAGCAUCUGUUCUCAAGCAACACACACGCAAACAGCAGAGAUGCGAGGUCCCUGACUCUUCCCAGAACAGGAGUGUAUUACCGAAAAAGACACACUGGAUUUGGACGAAUCAUCUCAAUCUGGUUGCUCUUAAUAAUAAAUAAAUAAACUCACAGACAGAACUCUUUUCAGAGAUUAACACCUGCAGUACAUAGAAGGGAAUGUGUUCUUCUGUUUGGUUUUGUUUUCUUAUCUUAACACAAUGUCUCCUGUUCAUUCAAUGUCCUUAUGUCCGUCGUGUUCAUUCUCUUGCUAGUUCGGAACUACUGACUUGUUGUUCUCUGCUUGACUAAAAUACAGGUUCUCAAAGUGUUUCAGGAGCGCAACUGCGAUAUUUACUCACAUCCCGAGCCUAGCAGCCAUGUUGGAUUCCACAGUGAGUGACCAUAUAGCACUGUUCUUAUGACUAGAAAUGAAUAUGAGCGGCACUUAAAUGUUUUGGG
This is a long non-coding RNA of Ictalurus punctatus (channel catfish), 1615 nucleotides long. NCBI's taxonomy places the organism in Eukaryota, Metazoa, Chordata, Actinopteri, Siluriformes, Ictaluridae. The record is from Ensembl.